AGUGAACGCUGGCGGUAGGCCUAACACAUGCAAGUCGAACGGCAGCACAGUAAGAGCUUGCUCUUACGGGUGGCGAGUGGCGGACGGGUGAGGAAUACAUCGGAAUCUACUUUUUCGUGGGGGAUAACGUACGGAAACUUACGCUAAUACCGCAUACGACCUACGGGUGAAAGCAGGGGAUCUUCGGACCUUGCGCGAUUGAAUGAGCCGAUGUCGGAUUAGCUAGUUGGCGGGGUAAAGGCCCACCAAGGCGACGUUCCGUAGCUGGUCUGAGAGGAUGAUCAGCCACACUGGAACUGAGACACGGUCCAGACUCCUACGGGAGGCAGCAGUGGGGAAUAUUGGACAAUGGGCGCAAGCCUGAUCCAGCCAUACCGCGUGGGUGAAGAAGGCCUUCGGGUUGUAAAGCCCUUUUGUUGGGAAAGAAAAGCAGCAGGUUAAUACCCCGCUGUUCUGACGGUACCCAAAGAAUAAGCACCGGCUAACUUCGUG
RNAcentral lists this ribosomal RNA (492 nucleotides) under uncultured bacterium. RNAcentral describes it as "partial 16S ribosomal RNA". It matches the Rfam family "Bacterial small subunit ribosomal RNA", at positions 29 to 507 of the family's 1533-position model. The record is from RNAcentral.